Molecule: ribosomal RNA, 301 nt
Filed under: uncultured bacterium
Lineage: Bacteria
Description: partial 16S ribosomal RNA
Rfam family: Bacterial small subunit ribosomal RNA
Source: RNAcentral
CAGUCGCCACGGUAAUACAGAGAGUGCAAGCGUUAAUCGGAAUUACUGGGCGUAAAGCGCGCGUAGGUGGUUUGUUAAGUCGAAUGUGAAAUCCCCGGGCUCAACCUGGGAACUGCAUCCGAAACUGGCAGGCUAGAGUAGGGCAGAGGGUGGUGGAAUUUCCUGUGUAGCGGUGAAAUGCGUAGAUAUAGGAAGGAACACCAGUGGCGAAGGCGACCACCUGGGCUCAUACUGACACUGAGGUGCGAAAGCGUGGGGAGCAAACAGGAUUAGAUACCCCUGUAGUCCCUGUCUCUUAUAC